This 497-nucleotide ribosomal RNA is filed under the name uncultured bacterium. RNAcentral's name for it is "partial 16S ribosomal RNA". It matches the Rfam family "Bacterial small subunit ribosomal RNA", at positions 28 to 507 of the family's 1533-position model. The record is from RNAcentral.
GAUGAACGCUGGCGGCGUGCCUAAUACAUGCAAGUCGAGCGAACGGACGAGAAGCUUGCUUCUCUGAUGUUAGCGGCGGACGGGUGAGUAACACGUGGAUAACCUACCUAUAAGACUGGGAUAACUUCGGGAAACCGGAGCUAAUACCGGAUAAUAUUUUGCACCGCAUGGUUCAAAAGUGAAAGACGGUCUUGCUGUCACUUAUAGAUGGAUCCGCGCUGCAUUAGCUAGUUGGUAAGGUAACGGCUUACCAAGGCAACGAUGCAUAGCCGACCUGAGAGAGGGAUCGGCCACACUGGAGCUGAGACACGGUCCAGACUCCUACGGGAGGCAGCAGUAGGGAAUCUUCCGCAAUGGGCGAAAGCCUGACGGAGCAACGCCGCGUGAGUGAUGAAGGUCUUCGGAUCGUAAAACUCUGUUAUUAGGGAAGAACAGAUGUGUAAGUAACUGUGCACAUCUUUACGGUACCUAAUCAGAAAGCCACGGCUAACUACGUG